Molecule: ribosomal RNA, 253 nt
Filed under: uncultured bacterium
Lineage: Bacteria
Description: partial 16S ribosomal RNA
Rfam family: Bacterial small subunit ribosomal RNA
Source: RNAcentral
UACAGAGGUCUCGAGCGUUGUUCGGAUUCAUUGGGCGUAAAGGGCUCGUAGGCGGUUUGUCGCGUCGGGAGUGAAAAUCCAGGGCUUAACUCUGGACUGGCUUCCGAUACGGGCAGACUAGAGGUAUGCAGGGGAGAACGGAAUUCCUGGUGUAGCGGUGAAAUGCGCAGAUAUCAGGAGGAACACCGGUGGCGAAGGCGGUUCUCUGGGCAUUACCUGACGCUGAGGAGCGAAAGUGUGGGGAGCGAACAGG